GUCCUGAUGGUCUAGUGGAUAAGAUUUGGUACUUUCAUUACUGAAGUCUGGGUUCAAUUCCCAGUCAGGGAA
Molecule: transfer RNA, 72 nt
Filed under: Pelodiscus sinensis (Chinese soft-shelled turtle)
Lineage: Eukaryota; Metazoa; Chordata; Testudines; Trionychidae
Rfam family: tRNA
About the family: Transfer RNA (tRNA) molecules are approximately 80 nucleotides in length. Their secondary structure includes four short double-helical elements and three loops (D, anti-codon, and T loops).
Source: Rfam by way of RNAcentral